GUGCGCUCUUCAGCAACACGUAUGCUUAAAGUAGAACAGUAUAGAGAAAAUUAGCAUGGUCCCUGCUCAGGGAUGGCACGCAAAUUCAUGAUGCAUUCCAUAUUUUU
Small nuclear RNA from Vulpes vulpes (red fox), 107 nucleotides. NCBI's taxonomy places the organism in Eukaryota, Metazoa, Chordata, Mammalia, Carnivora, Canidae. The record is from Ensembl.